GUGAAUCAUCGAAUUUUUGAACGCAAAUUGCACUCUCUGGUAUUCCGGAAAGUAUGCCUGUUUGAGGGUCAGUUAAAUAAAAAUCGGUGUUGUUGCUGCUUUUCGUGGUGACGGAUCUGAAUUGAGUUGUAUUACCUUCGGGUAAGUGACUUAAAAUUUUGCAUGAUUUUCGAACGUAUUUAAACUUCUUACGUACGUUUGUGAUAUCGAUUACUAUAUUAGUUUCGGUCAUCCUCAUGAUUCGCACCUAUAAUUUUUCAUUAAAUGACCUACAUUAAGUUAAGA
Molecule: unclassified non-coding RNA, 285 nt
Filed under: Glomus sp.
Lineage: Eukaryota; Fungi; Glomeromycota; Glomeromycetes; Glomerales; Glomeraceae
Description: partial contains 5.8S ribosomal RNA and internal transcribed spacer 2
Rfam family: 5.8S ribosomal RNA (bases 1-71)
Source: RNAcentral